GUCCUGCCAGUAGUUAUAUGCUUGUCUCAAAGAUUAAGCCAUGCAUGUGUAAGUACAAGCCCAAACCUAAGGUGAAACCGCGAAUGGCUCAUUAAAUCAGCUAUGAUUCAUUGGAUCUGUACCAACCCAGUAUUUACUUGGAUAACUGUGGUAAUUCUAGAGCUAAUACAUGCACCCAGUCCCCGACCUCGUUUUCGGGUCCGACUUUAAAUAGGAGGACUCGUUGUGAGGGAAGGGCGCUUUUAUUAGUUCCAAAACCGGCGGCAGUGUUGUUGUAACGACAAACCUGCCUACCGUCUCUUGGUGACUCUGGAUAACUUUUUGCUGAGCGCACAGUCUCCGCACUGGCGCCGCAUCUUUCAAGUGUCUGCCUUAUCAGCUGUCGAUUGUAGGUUAUUCGCCUACAAUGGCUAUAACGGGUAACGGGGAAUCAGGGUUCGAUUCCGGAGAGGGAGCCUGAGAAACGGCUACCACAUCUAAGGAAGGCAGCAGGCACGCAAAUUACCCACUCCCAGCCCGGGGAGGUAGUGACGAAAAAUAACGAUACGAGACUCAUCCGAGGCCUCGUAAUCGGAAUGAGUACACUUUAAAUCCUUUAACGAGGACCUAUUGGAGGGCAAGUCUGGUGCCAGCAGCCGCGGUAAUUCCAGCUCCAAUAGCGUAUGCCAAAGUUGCUGCGGUUAAAAAGCUCGUAGUUGGACUACAGUUCCGGACUGACGGCUCACCGCCAAGGUGUACACCGUCAGCUCCGAAGCAGCCCGAGUUUAAAAAACUCGGGCCCCGUCGGCUCGCCUGGGGUGCUCUUCACCGAGUGCCCCAAGUGGCUGGCAUGUUUACUUUGAAAAAAUUAGAGUGCUCAGAGCAGGCUACAUGAAUUGGCCUGAAUGCCUAUGCAUGGAAUAAUGGAAUAGGACCUCGGUUCUAUUUUGUCGGUUUUCCCUUGUUGGAACCCGAGGUAAUGAUUAAGGGGAACAGUCGGGGACAUUUGUACUGCGACGCUAGAGGUGAAAUUCUUGGACCGUCGCAAGACAAGCUACUGCGAAAGCAUUUGUCAAGGAUGUUUUCGUUAAUCAAGAACGAAAGUUAGAGGUUCGAAGGCGAUCAGAUACCGCCCUAGUUCUAACCAUAAACGAUGCUGACCAGCGAUCCGCCGGCGCUAUUCCCAUGGCCCGGCGGGAAGCUUCCGGGAAACCAAAGUCUUUGAGUUCCGGGGGAAGUAUGGUUGCAAAGCUGAAACUUAAAGGAAUUGACGGAAGGGCACCACCAGGAGUGGAGCCUGCGGCUUAAUUUGACUCAACACGGGAAACCUCACCAGGCCCAGACACCGGAAGGAUUGACAGAAUGAGAGCUCUUUCUCGAUUCGGUGGGUGGUGGUGCAUGGCCGUUCUUAGUUGGUGGAGUGAUUUGUCUGGUUAAUUCCGAUAACGAACGAGACUCUGGCCUAUUAACUAGUCGGCGGAUUUCCAAGCAUUGGUGUCCAGCCCGCAACUUCUUCUUAGAGGGAUAAGCGGCAUACAUAGCCGCACGAGAUUGAGCAAUAACAGGUCUGUGAUGCCCUUAGAUGUUCUGGGCCGCACGCGCGCUACACUGAAGGGAUCAGCGUGUUUUCCCCCUCCGAGAGGAGCGGGCAACCCGAUGAAACCCCUUCGUGCUAGGGAUUGGGGCUUGCAAUUGUUUCCCAUGAACGAGGAAUUCCCAGUAAGCGCAAGUCAUCAGCUUGCGUUGAUUACGUCCCUGCCCUUUGUACACACCGCCCGUCGCUACUACCGAUUGAAUGAUUUAGUGAGGACUUCGGACUGGCGCUCUUGGGUGCGUGGGUGUGUGGAGCAGCAGAAGUCGUGUUGGCUCUAGUUAGUCGAUCUUCUCUCUGUCUCUCUCGCCCUGCUCUUCGAGCUGACGGAAAGAUGUCCAAACUUGAUCAUUUAGAGGAAGUAAAAGUCGUAACAAGGUUUCCGUAGGUGAACCUGCGGAAA
Molecule: ribosomal RNA, 1973 nt
Filed under: Paguristes triangulatus
Lineage: Eukaryota; Metazoa; Arthropoda; Malacostraca; Decapoda; Diogenidae
Description: SSU rRNA
Rfam family: Eukaryotic small subunit ribosomal RNA
Source: RNAcentral